AUGCAGUUGGUCACGAGUGGUCGGACGGCGGUUAACAUAAACGGGGAGGUUGGCUCAUACUUCUUGACGGGCCAAGGGGUCCGACAGGGGGACCCGAUUUCCCCCUUUCUAUUCAACCUUGUGGUUGAUGCCCUCGCCUCGAUUCUUGACUUGGCCAAGCGCGCCGGCCAUAUUAGGGGAAUUUGCCCUCAUCUGAUUGCGAAUGGGGGUCUGACCCACCUCCAAUAUGCCGACGGCACCAUUAUGAUGGUGGAAGGCUCGGAUGAGGAUAUUCAGAAUCUAAAGUUCCUCCUCCUUUGCUUCCAGGAAAUGUCAGGCCUCACGAUUAACUUUGCCAAGAGUGAGGUGAUGGUCAUAGGAUAUUCUCCGAUGGAAGCUCAGCGAAUUGCCAAUCGCUUGAACUGCCGUUUGGGAACAUUUCCGACCACCUACCUAGGCGCUCCUCUUAGUGACUCUCGUCUGCUUGAGAAGGAUUUUCGCCCAAUAAUCUGUUGGAAAUAUGCCCUAGAGGCAAUAAUAAAUGGUUAUUAUUAUAUUUCUUUGUUCAUGGUAAUUGUCUAUUGUUCAUGCUAUAAUUGUGUUAUCCGGAAAUCGUAA
Molecule: ribosomal RNA, 597 nt
Filed under: Triticum aestivum (bread wheat)
Lineage: Eukaryota; Viridiplantae; Streptophyta; Magnoliopsida; Poales; Poaceae
Description: partial small subunit ribosomal RNA
Source: RNAcentral